AAGUCGUAACAAGGUUUCCGUAGGUGAAGGUUUGCCUACUGAAGCCCGUAGCCAGCGACUCUAAAAAAAUCAGCUAUAGUCGCCCCUCCGGGGGUUGGCGACGCCAUCAAUCUGUGUCUGGGAGCGCUUCCCCCCUUGGGGGAGUACUACCAGCAGCUCGUUGUAUGCGAGUUCACAGGUCAAACGAUAGCGGCCACUUCGGUGGUUGAGAUAUGAUCGGCCUCCAGCUGUUACCCGGUUGGGGAGAUUUAGCGGAACCUGCGGAAGGAUCAUU
This 274-nucleotide unclassified non-coding RNA is filed under the name Cladonia sp. Its description in RNAcentral is "partial contains internal transcribed spacer 1". The record is from RNAcentral. Lineage: Eukaryota; Fungi; Ascomycota; Lecanoromycetes; Lecanorales; Cladoniaceae.